UAAGCGGAGGAAAAGAAACCAACAGGGAUUGCCUCAGUAGCGGCGAGUGAAGCGGCAAAAGCUCAAAUUUGAAAUCUGGCGUCUUUGGCGUCCGAGUUGUAAUUUGAAGAAGGUAUCUUUGGGCCCGGCUCUUGUCUAUGUUCCUUGGAACAGGACGUCACAGAGGGUGAGAAUCCCGUGCGAUGAGAUGACCCGGGUCUGUGUAAAGUUCCUUCGACGAGUCGAGUUGUUUGGGAAUGCAGCUCUAAGUGGGUGGUAAAUUCCAUCUAAAGCUAAAUAUUGGCGAGAGACCGAUAGCGAACAAGUACAGUGAUGGAAAGAUGAAAAGAACUUUGAAAAGAGAGUGAAAAAGUACGUGAAAUUGUUGAAAGGGAAGGGCUUGAGAUCAGACUUGGUAUUUUGCAUGCUGCUCUCUCGGGGGCGGCCGCUGCGGUUUACCGGGCCAGCAUCGGUUUGGAGCGGCAGGAUAAUGGCGGAGGAAUGUGGCACGGCUUCUGCUGUGUGUUAUAGCCUCUGACGAUACUGCCAGCCUAGACCGAGGACUGCGGUUUUUAACCUAGGAUGUUGGCAUAAUGAUCUUAAGUCGCCCGUCUUG
RNAcentral lists this ribosomal RNA (595 nucleotides) under Candida albicans. Its description in RNAcentral is "eukaryotic LSU rRNA". It matches the Rfam family "Eukaryotic large subunit ribosomal RNA", at positions 47 to 656 of the family's 3401-position model. Lineage: Eukaryota; Fungi; Ascomycota; Pichiomycetes; Serinales; Debaryomycetaceae. The record is from RNAcentral.